GAAGUGAGCAUGUGCCGAAAAUGAAGUUAUGUGCAAAAAAGUUUAUGUAAGUGUGCUUGACAUUCUAAGAAAGGGAGUAUUUCCUCCUAGUUAUAUUUAGUCGCGACUAAGCUCUUGUGUUGUUUCGGCUUGUUCUCUGUUCAUUGUAGUGCGCUAGUUUAUUUUUGGCAAUGCUGAAUCAACUUGCUUGUAAUUCCACACUUAUGUUUUUUGCACACUUCGCCAUGACGCAUGAAGGGACAUCUGUGUGACAUACCAAGACAGUGUGUCCUGAGCUCUACAAGCGCACAGGAUCGCCAUCGCACACGUGCAGGUAGCCCCAUGGCGGCCCUUCAAUUUGUCGCACGCGUUCUCAACCGUGUCUAAAUUUGAGGAAAGUCGUACCUCGCCGGCCAUGUCGAUCGCAGUUCUCCUCGUAUGCAUGAUUCUGGCCAACGACUUCCUCUACUUCGUGACAUUGGCUCUGCGACGCUUUGGAUUUGAUGUUCACGGUGUGCGGCUGCAUAGCGCAGCCGCACACCUUCAAAAUUUCCUCCCCGAGUUUUUAUUAACUAGAUUAAUUGACAUCGGUAUUCAUGGUUUUUCUUGGAGAUAUACGUUA
Long non-coding RNA from Dermacentor silvarum, 601 nucleotides. RefSeq lists it as uncharacterized. NCBI's taxonomy places the organism in Eukaryota, Metazoa, Arthropoda, Arachnida, Ixodida, Ixodidae. The record is from RefSeq and is a predicted model, not a curated record. The transcript has 4 exons.